AACGAACGCUGGCGGCAGGCCUAACACAUGCAAGUCGAGCGGACCCUUCGGGGUUAGCGGCGGACGGGUGAGUAACGCGUGGGAAUAUGCCCUUCUCUACGGAAUAGUCCUGGGAAACUGGGGGUAAAACCGUAUACGCCCUUUGGGGGAAAGAUUUAUCGGGGAAGGAUUAGCCCGCGUUGGAUUAGGUAGUUGGUGGGGUAAUGGCCUACCAAGCCGACGAUCCAUAGCUGGUUUGAGAGGAUGAUCAGCCACACUGGGACUGAGACACGGCCCAGACUCCUACGGGAGGCAGCAGUGGGGAAUCUUAGACAAUGGGGGCAACCCUGAUCUAGCCAUGCCGCGUGAGUGAUGAAGGCCUUAGGGUUGUAAAGCUCUUUCAGCUGGGAAGAUAAUGACGGUACCAGCAGAAGAAGCCCCGGCUAACUCCGUG
RNAcentral lists this ribosomal RNA (433 nucleotides) under uncultured bacterium. RNAcentral's name for it is "partial 16S ribosomal RNA". It matches the Rfam family "Bacterial small subunit ribosomal RNA", at positions 29 to 507 of the family's 1533-position model. The record is from RNAcentral.